UGUAUCUUUGUCGAAUGUUCCACUUUUACACACGCAAUAUGGCAACUUAUCAACGUCCAAUAUGGUGCCUAAGGGGUUAUCGUACAUAUUUCCGCGUCUGUGCGAAACACGUCAAGUGUCCAAAUAGGAACUUCCCUCCUCAAUAGGGAACAAGAACACGAAAGCAGAAAUAUUAACUUAAGGUGGCGGUAAUGCGCACGGACCCUGGUUGCCAACUAUACCGGAAGAAAGAAGAAACACAAUCGCAAUGGAGAAGGAAUAUGUGCAAAUAUUGCUUCUGACUUUGCGAGCUUAUAUUGGAACCCGUCAUCGACUUCUUCAGUUUCUCCGUGACAUGCAUCAACAGAGAUUACGUAACAGGAAGAAGGUGCUGUUGUGGCUCAUAUCAAGGCGAGCGCCACCUUCUGUGUGGAUGCGUCCGCGUUCUCGGCACUGGUGGGACCACGUUGUUCCGGAUUUCAGCCCUUCGCAGUUCCAGCAGAAUUUCCAUUUAUCCAGGAAGACCUUUGAGUACAUCUGCGGUCGGGUGAGACGUGCCAUGGGGAGAAGGG
This is a long non-coding RNA of Hippocampus comes (tiger tail seahorse), 551 nucleotides long. RefSeq lists it as uncharacterized. The transcript is spliced from 2 exons. Lineage: Eukaryota; Metazoa; Chordata; Actinopteri; Syngnathiformes; Syngnathidae. The record is from RefSeq and is a predicted model, not a curated record.